UCUAGUCAUCUCCUCCACAAUUCUCUACUGAUCACAGAACUGAUGACAUUAGUGCCCUCCUCAAUGUCAUAGCGAGUGCUGAUGAGUUUAUCUACAUUGCUGUAAUGGACUAUGAACCAGCCAUUGUCUACAGCUACCCUAAAAAGUACUGGCCGGUGAUAGAUGAUGCAUUGCGUACAGCAGCUUAUGAGAAAGGGAUUGAGGUACGUCUGCUGGGCAGUCACUGGGAACACUCUCCUUGUGACAUGAGGAGCUUUCUUGAGAGUCUGGGGUCUUGGAAUGUUACCGGACCCAAGAAUGGAAGCAUAAAAA
This is a long non-coding RNA of Amphimedon queenslandica, 312 nucleotides long. RefSeq lists it as uncharacterized. The record is from RefSeq and is a predicted model, not a curated record. The transcript has 2 exons. NCBI's taxonomy places the organism in Eukaryota, Metazoa, Porifera, Demospongiae, Haplosclerida, Niphatidae.